RNAcentral lists this ribosomal RNA (403 nucleotides) under uncultured bacterium. RNAcentral describes it as "partial 16S ribosomal RNA". It matches the Rfam family "Bacterial small subunit ribosomal RNA", at positions 30 to 526 of the family's 1533-position model. The record is from RNAcentral.
AUUGAACGCUGGCUUCAGGCCUAACACAUGCAAGUCGAGCGAGCGGCGGUCGGGCGAGUAUUGUAUGGGGACUGCCCGAUAGAGGGGGAUAACUACUGGAAACGGUGGCUAAUACCGCAUACUAUCGGAGAACCUAUAUGUGAUUAGCUAGUAGGUGGGGUAAAGGCUCCCCUAGGCGACGAUCCCUAGCUGGUCUGAGAGGCGCAUCAGCCACACUGGAAUUGAGACACGACCCAGACUCCUACGGAGGCAGCAGUGGGGAAUAUUGGAUAAUGGACGCAAGAAUGCUGCAGCCAUGCCGCGUGUAUGAAGAAGGCCUUGGGGUUGUAAAGUACUUUCAGCGGGGAGGCGUUGCCCGCAGAAGAAGCACCGGCUAACUCCGUGCCAGCAGCCGCGGUAAUAC